AGUGAAACACCGGUUCUCGUACAAUCACCGAAAUUAAGCAAAGUUGAGACUGGUCAAUAUCUAGAUGGGUGACCCCUUGGGUAUACCAGGUGCUGUAUGC
This is a non-coding RNA of Acanthosepion pharaonis, 100 nucleotides long. Lineage: Eukaryota; Metazoa; Mollusca; Cephalopoda; Sepiida; Sepiidae. The record is from the annotation of a GenBank genome assembly.